This is an RNA transcript of Solanum lycopersicum (tomato), 4348 nucleotides long. It is a transcript of the gene named sister-chromatid cohesion protein 3, with no coding region annotated. The record is from RefSeq and is a predicted model, not a curated record. NCBI's taxonomy places the organism in Eukaryota, Viridiplantae, Streptophyta, Magnoliopsida, Solanales, Solanaceae.
GCAUCGUUUCAAUCUCACAAAAAUUGCAACUCCAAGUGUAGGUAGUAUACGCAAUACGAUCCCACAAUUCUCUUCAUUUUCUCACCGUCUCCUUCUUCUGCAUAGUUCUCUCUUCUUUGCUUCAAUUUCUAGGGUUUACAACAACAUCAAUUCAUGGAGGAGGAACCAGUGGUAUCGGAAACAGCGAAUCGUCGUACGAAACGAACGAGAGCUCAAACUAGGAUUAACGAAGAGCAAUUACACAGCAGUGUGAAUGAGGAAGAGAGGGAAGAAUCGUCUGAGGACUUUGAAGACUUUCGUGCUAGACCUAAGCGGAGUAAGGCUUUAGGAGGCACUUCAUCUGCUGCUGCUGCUAGAAAUGCUCAUCAGAGUUUAAUUGAUGUUGUUAAAGGUGAUAGGAGACGAAUUCCUCUAGUGGUCAAGCAUUGGGUGGAACAUUAUGAAAAGGAUCCGAAAGCUGCAAUGGCUGGACUAUUGAGCAUGAUGUUUGAGGCAUGUGGAGCAAAAUAUCAUAUUGAAGAAGAUUUCUUGGACCAAACUGAUGUUGAUGAUGUUGUAGUUGCUCUUGUAAACAUGGCUAAGAGGGGUGAAGUUGAGGAUUAUCAAACUUCAAAGAAGAAGGACUUCAAGAACUUCAAAGAUAAUCUCGUCUACUUCUGGGAUACCCUGGUUGCUGAAUGUGAAAAUGGACCACUUUUUGAUAGGGUCUUGUUUGACAAGUGCAUGGAUUAUGUGAUUGCGCUAUCAUGCACUCCUCCUAGAGUAUAUCGUCAGGUUGCUUCAUUAAUGGGGCUUCAACUUGUUACAUCCUUUAUACACAUUGCCAAAGUACUUGGUUCACAGCGGGAAACCACACAGAGACAGCUAAAUGCUGAACAGAAGAAGAAAGUGGAUGGGCCUCGAGUUGAAUCACUAAAUAAAAGAUUAUCCAUGACCCAUGAAAAGAUAACAAUAAUAGAGGAGAUGAUGCGGAAGAUAUUUACUGGGCUAUUUAUGCACCGUUAUCGAGAUGUCGAACCUGAUAUCAGAAUGGCAUGCAUACAGUCAUUGGGUGUCUGGAUCCUGUCAUACCCCUCUCUGUUUUUGCAGGAUUUGUAUUUGAAAUAUCUCGGAUGGACAUUGAAUGAUAAAAGUGAUGGUGUAAGGAAGGCAUCAGUUCUUGCACUGCAGAAUCUUUAUGAGGUGGAUGAUAAUGUACCAUCUCUUGGCCUUUUCACGGAGAGAUUUUAUAAAAGGAUGAUCGAGCUUGCUGAUGAUGUUGAUAUUUCUGUGGCAGUAUGUGCUAUAGGACUUGUGAAACAACUGAUAAGACAUCAACGUGUUCCUGAGGAGGAAUUAAGUUCUUUAUAUGAUUUGCUAAUUGAUGAUCCACCUGAAAUCAGGCGUGCCAUUGGAGCUCUAGUGUAUGAUAAUCUGAUUGCCCAGCGAUUGAACAGUUCACAAUCUAGUUCAGGGGAUAAUGCUGAUUCUUCUGAGGUUCAUCUUAACAGACUGUUGCGCAUAUUGGGAGAGUUUUCAAAAGACGAAAUGCUGAGUAUGUAUGUCAUUGAUGAUAUCUGGGAGUAUAUGGACGCCAUGAAAGAUUGGAAACGUAUCCUGUCUAUGCUCUUGGAAGAAGAGCUAUCAGCUGAACUGAGUGAUGCAGACGCAACAAACCUAAUUCGUCUGCUUUUUGCGUCCAUUAGGAAGGCAGUUGGAGAGAAGAUUGUUCCUGCCAGUGAUAAUAAAAAACAAUAUUAUACUAAAGCACAAAAGGACAUGUUUGAAAGUUCUAAGCGUGAUAUAACCAUUGCUAUGAUGAGGAAUUAUCCGCAGCUUCUUCGCAAAUUUAUAUCUGACAAAGCAAAAAUUCCCUAUCUACUUGAAAUCAUUGUUCAUAUGAACCUUGAGCUCUAUUCUCUUAAACGACAAGAUCAGAAUUUUAAAUCUGCGGUACUUCUGAUGAAAGAAGCAUUUUUCAAGCAUGGUGAGAAGGAAGCUCUGAGAUCUUGUGUAAAAGCUCUGAACUUCUGUGCUACUGAGAGUCGUGGGGAGUUACAGGACUUCGCCCUUAACAAAUUGAAGGGGAUUGAAGAUGAGCUCAUUAUGAAACUUAAAUCUGCAAUAAAAGAAGUUGCUGAUGGUGAUGAUGAAUAUACAAUGCUUGUUAACUUGAAAAGGUUGUAUGAACUUCAAUUGUCAAGGCAAAUUUCCACUGAAAGCUUGUAUAAAGAUCUUGCAGAGACUCUGAAGAACUUCAGAAGUAUUGAUGACGAGGUAAUUGGAUUUCUGCUUCUUAACAUGCAUCUGCAUGUUUGCUGGUGCCUACACUCUAUCAUCAACUCUGGCACAGUCCUGGAACAAUCUAUAUCUUCCUUAAUUUCAAAACGCAGUGCCUUGUUUGAACUACUUGAGUCCUUCCUGACUACUAAUUCUCCGGAAGGUCUUCGUGCAAGUCAACUUGCAUGUAGGGUUUGUGUUAUUUUUUCAGAACAGUGGUGUCUGUUCAAGAAAGCAACCUUUGCAUCCACGGAAAUAGAAGCUUUAGGGUACUCUCCAGAUGAAGCCAUUCUUCAAAAGUUCUGGAAGCUUUGUGAACGCCAACUACAUAUUUCAGAUGAGGCUGAAGAAGAAGAUUCUAAUAGGGAAUACAUUGAGGAGACAAAUCGAGAUGCUGUAAUCAUUGCUGUUGGCAAGUUGGUUGCUGUUGAUGCAGUUCCUAAGGAAUAUCUUGCUCCAGAGAUACUAUCUCAUCUUUCAAUGCAUGGGACAAGUGUAUCUGCGGUUAUUAAGCAUUUGCUAACCGUGUUAAGGAAUAAUGGUGCAGAUGUUGCAUGGUUGUUCAUAGAGGCACUAAAAAGGGUGAGCAUCACUACUUGUUAACUGAGAUGAUUCCUGCUCUAUUUUUGUCACUUGGCAGGUUGGCCUUCCAGUUUCUGGUGAGCUUUUUGAUGAAAUUGCAGAAGAGAAGUCUUACUUCAAAAUUUGAUAAUGAUAUGGUUAAAAUGUUUGGUUGACUGAGUGUAUAAAAAAGGGGAGCCCGGUGCAUGAAGCAUCCCCAUUCACACUGGGUCAGGGGAAGAGCCACACUCAGGUGUGUGUGUGUGUGUAUGUAUGUAAGCAGCCUACCCUGACUCAAGCAUCAGUGACUGGUUCCGCUGCUUGAACCCGUGACGUAUAGGCCCAUGAACGGUACUUAGUAGCACUUUUCUCUGAUGAUGACGAAUCAGCGAGAAAGACUUUUCAUGAAUGUGAAGAUCUCGCCAGUGGGCUUGCCAAGACAUUUGGAAAUGCUGCUAGAAACAAGCACCGGUCAGAUCUUCUAAAUAUUGUCACAGGAGGCAUUCAAUAUGCCUUUACUGAUGCUCCAAAGCAUUUAUCUUUCUUGGAUGGUGCUGUGCUGCAUUUCAUAUCUAAACUUCCUCCUUCAGAUAUUAUGAACAUCUUGAAAGACGUCGAGAAAAGAACUGAAAAUGUUAACACGGAUGAAGAUCCAAGCGGUUGGCGACCCUACCAUAUAUUUGUAGAUACAGUCCAUGAGAAGUAUGCUAAGGGUGAUGUUUUACAAGAUGAUAAGGAAGGAGCUGGGAGACGUCGAGGUCGUCCUACCAAGAAGCAGAACAUACAAGGAAAGAAACUUUUUGACGAGCACAAUUCUAGUGAAGACGAGGAAUCAAUCAGUGGAUCUGACCAAGAGGCAGAUGAAGAAAAACAAGAUGAUGAAGAGGUUCCUCUAAUACAUUCUUUCAAGUCAUCAUCCAAGCUAAGGUCUCUGAAGAUAUCAAGAGAGAGCUGAAGCUAUGUGAGAACUGGUCAUUUUGGUCUCUGUUUAGAGUUUUCCUGUUCCAAAGCAUCAGGUUCUCAAGUCUUAAAAAUCUGCUCUCUAUAUCACGAGCAAACAGGUUCCUCAAGAACCAUAGUUUGAGAGGAAAACUUUGUUGAAGUAGACCUUAGGUGCAGCCUUGUGUAUUUAAAAUAGGUCUCGUCUCCAGUCUUUUUUUUUUUCCUUUCCAAACUAGCUGUAUUUGUGAUUUCUUUUUGGCAGCUUCAACCCAUUUAUGGAUUUGGUAAGCUAUUACUUGUCGUGAUUAUCUUGUGAUUGUGUAACCUUUGGGCUCCUAAUGGCUAGUAAGUUCUGAAUUGCCAAAAUGGAAGUACUAGGAAGAGAUAUACUGAAGAUGGAGACAAAAUUCAAGUAGGAGAAAUGCAAAACAUUCAAUUACAACUAUUGACUAGCUGCUAUUGAUAUUUACAUAUUAGUUGUAAUCACAGCUGUAAUUUGAAGGGGAAGGCAUUUGCUUGUGCGUAAGCCCCUUUAGAGGUGGGGGCGAGCCAGGGUGAAGGCUAUAGUAAAUUUGUUGCGACUGAA